Molecule: ribosomal RNA, 1058 nt
Filed under: Pseudomonas sp.
Lineage: Bacteria; Pseudomonadati; Pseudomonadota; Gammaproteobacteria; Pseudomonadales; Pseudomonadaceae
Description: bacterial SSU rRNA
Source: RNAcentral
ACSCGGSGGGCYAAMCAUGCAAGUCGAGCGGAUGACAGGAGCUUGCUCCUGAAUUCAGCGGCGGACGGGUGAGUAAUGCCUAGGAAUCUGCCUGGUAGUGGGGGACAACGUUUCGAAAGGAACGCUAAUACCGCAUACGUCCUACGGGAGAAAGCAGGGGACCUUCGGGCCUUGCGCUAUCAGAUGAGCCUAGGUCGGAUUAGCUAGUUGGUGAGGUAAUGGCUCACCAAGGCGACGAUCCGUAACUGGUCUGAGAGGAUGAUCAGUCACACUGGAACUGAGACACGGUCCAGACUCCUACGGGAGGCAGCAGUGGGGAAUAUUGGACAAUGGGCGAAAGCCUGAUCCAGCCAUGCCGCGUGUGUGAAGAAGGUCUUCGGAUUGUAAAGCACUUUAAGUUGGGAGGAAGGGCAKUAACUUAAUACGUUGCUGUUUUGACGUUACCGACAGAAUAAGCACCGGCUAACUCUGUGCCAGCAGCCGCGGUAAUACAGAGGGUGCAAGCGUUAAUCGGAAUUACUGGGCGUAAAGCGCGCGUAGGUGGUUUGUUAAGUUGGAUGUGAAAGCCCCGGGCUCAACCUGGGAACUGCAUUCAAAACUGACAAGCUAGAGUAUGGUAGAGGGUGGUGGAAUUUCCUGUGUAGCGGUGAAAUGCGUAGAUAUAGGAAGGAACACCAGUGGCGAAGGCGACCACCUGGACUGAUACUGACACUGAGGUGCGAAAGCGUGGGGAGCAAACAGGAUUAGAUACCCUGGUAGUCCACGCCGUAAACGAUGUCAACUAGCCGUUGGGAGCCUUGAGCUCUUAGUGGCGCAGCUAACGCAUUAAGUUGACCGCCUGGGGGAGUACGGCCGCAAGGUUAAAACUCAAAUGAAUUGACGGGGGGCCCGCACAAGCGGUGGAGCAUGUGGUUUUAAUUCGAAGCAACGCGAAGAACCUUACCAGCCUUGACAUCCAAUGAACUUUUCCAGAGAUGGAUUGCUGCCUUCGGAAACAUUGAGACAGGUGCCUGCAUGGACUGGUCGUUCAGCUCGUGUUCGUGAGAUGUUUGCGCAGU